UACGGGGGGGGCAAGCGUUGUUCGGAAUUACUGGGCGUAAAGGGCGUGAAGGCGGCCAACUAAGUCAGACGUGAAAUCCCUAGGCUCAACCUAGGAACUGCGUCUGAUACUGGAUGGCUUGAAUUCGGGAGAGGGAUGCAGAAUUCCAGGUGUAGCGGUGAAAUGCGUAGAUAUCUGGAGGAAUACCGGUGGCGAAGGCGGCAUCCUGGACCGACAUUGACGCUGUAGCGCGAAAGCUAGGGGAGCAAACGGGG
RNAcentral lists this ribosomal RNA (254 nucleotides) under uncultured bacterium. RNAcentral describes it as "partial 16S ribosomal RNA". It matches the Rfam family "Bacterial small subunit ribosomal RNA", at positions 524 to 777 of the family's 1533-position model. The record is from RNAcentral.